CGCGCGCGCCUGCCGUUGGAAAAGGCAGGGCGAGGCUGGGCUGCGGGGCGCCGCCCCGAGGGAACGGGGCGCUGCCGCCAGCCACUCCGCUCCCUCCGAGGGCCCGGAGGCCUCUGAGCCCGCGUCAAGACUCCCUCUGCCUUCUGGGAUGCAGCCCCAAGACCAGGGUGUGAAAGAACCCCUUUAUCCCCUACAACAAGGGGCAGGCUGGAGAGCAGCUAGUAAUAGCACCCAAGGAACCAGGUGUUUGCCCAUGGAACAGCAGGACCUUUACACAUGUACUACCCCUCCCCAUCCUCCUUAAAAGCUUCAGAGGAGUUAAUAACAAGGUGGGACUGCAGUUCUACUUCUGGAAGAAAAGUUUUUGCCAGCUUUUGACUGCUCCAGGGCAGAGUAAACCCCAACAGGCUUCAUUUGCAUGACAUGUGACUGCUCCAUCAAGUGUUAAGGAUGUCUCCUCAGCUGACACAGGAAGGCAUACAAGUUCAGAAACACUGACUCUCUUCAGGCUAUAGCAUAGUCACAAUAGCAGCUUGUUUUAAUAAAAUCUGCCAUUGAUUUACCAGUUCUGAAACAAGUUCAGUAUGACCAGCACCAACACAUCAUUAAUGACAGAUGAAGACUACUAAUACCUACAUAGCAAUUCUGAGUUUCCAUAACCUGGUCCAAACCUUUCAUCUACAAUGCCUUUUUUUUAAUUCCUGCAGAAAAGCUAUCAGCCUCAAGCACCUUCUAUCUCUUGAACUAUGGGCAGAAAAAACCUGUCAUCCGUUUUCUCCUCACUACAUUUGUGUCCAUGUGCAGUGAGGCCAAAGAUCAGCAGGCUUUCUGGGAAUUUAAAUGCUUUGUCUAACAGACUAUAUAAGACAUUGCAUUAGUACUGAUAGUCUCAACCUACCAAAUCUGAGAGCUGAGUCUAAAUUAUGCUUAUCCUUGCACGCUAAGUUAUUACAUGUUCUUCAUUUCCAUCUCAGCUAUUUUCUGUGUCUAAUGAAGAGACAACUGCUAUAUGCUCAACAAGACAUCCAGCACCAAGUUCAUUAAAGUGAUAUUGCAAAACUGAGUAAGUACUCAAUGGACAAUUAACUGCAAUAGGAUAAAUAUGGCACUAUGGUGUCUUCAACAAGUAGCAUUACAGAACCAGCUGCAUUUCAAGAGGCACUGUAUUGAUCUGUGCACAGCAAGUAACAUGUACUUAGCACCUUUCAAUAAACCUUCAUUUAACCUGCCUAGUUAAUACUGUUUUCUAGAAAAAACAUUUAAGAUUUGAAAGAGGAAGAACUCUUACCCUCUCCAUGUUUGUCUGUGAACUGGAAGGCCUGGACAAGUCUGAGGGUUUCAUCAACAGAACGGCCAACAGGAAGAUCAUUGAUUGUUAUCUGCCUCAAGAUGCCUUUCUCAUCAAUUAUGAACAGACCCCUAAAAAACCACAACCCUGAAGUUAAACACCACUUUUGAAAGACUGAUUAGACUGAAGUGAGUUUCAAAACCUCAAGUUCAGUAUUCUAUUAUGGCAGUAAGUUGUGUUGUGUCAUUACUGACCUCUUCCUAAAAACCUAAUACCUUCCAUGUAUGCAUAGCACUAAAACAUUAGCAGUUAAAAGCCUAACAUCCAGCAGGAACUAGGAAGGACAGGAGGCAAGUCAAAACACUAAUGCAGGAAAGCAACACUAUUUGAGGAAGAUACUAGUGGAAAAACAAAAUGGAAGAGAAACCCAAGACAAAAGUGAAUUGAAGCAGAGGCAUUUUUACAUUCAAAUAAAGACUACACACACCAUUCUCAAAAGACCCAACCCAGCAAUGGCUCAUCAGUUAGUCCUCCAGAGUCAUAUUAAGAGUUUGCAGAAGUUCAGCUCCCUCAGCAACUGCUACUGAACGGUCAACUAAAACGUAAGGCUUGUGUUUUAAUUAAUCUGUACUUUAAUCACUAAAUACCUGUAAUCACUUUCAUGACUACAUAGGUCUUGUAUUACCAAUGUUUGCAGAAGCCCACCUGCAUGAGACUCCUGCACAGUGCACACAGGUAAUCAAAGAGAAGCAUCAAGCAUUUAUCCAGCUUAACAAAACCAUGAAAAGUCUAAACACUAAGGAGAACCAAGUAGUACCUCCCCUUGCAGGAGUGUUUGAUAGCUUGAAGCAGUUUGCACCUAGAAGAGCUAAUAGCUUCAGCUUGCUCCAGGUGUUCAAUCAAGUAUAUGCAAGCUCUGUGUUCAUCUGACAUGCUCCAUGGUUGCAACAUAAGACUAACAGCAAGUUUACCUUCUUGCACAUUACCUGUAUGCAAUCCCUUCAUCCUCUUUAAGUACUCCAUAUUCUUUGGCAAUGGCACGUUUUGUGUCAGAAAUCAAUGGGAUUUUCAUAGUACCCAAACCACCUUGUUUCUUAGGAGUGUUGAUCCUAAAAGAAGGAAGUUAAAACGUUAAAAAUAUGGACAGUUCAGAAUAAAGUACAAGGUACAACAGAAGCGGAUCAUUCCUACAAUAUCAUACUUGGUCUACCAGGAGGCAACAAGAGAACUGAACAGCAUGCUCAGGUCUGUUCAGAAGCAUGUUGCACCACCACUACUUUGAGUGCACUGAAGUAAGCAAGCUUGAACAGAGCCAGGAUUCAGUUCCUGCAAGAACUGAGACCAGGCAGAACAUUCUAUUAGGUUGAAAGGCUGAUUCUUACCAGGCAAGGUGACAGAAGUGAGAGUCAACAGAAGCUCCAAUUACUUCACAGUUAAUUUUCUUGAAUUCAUCAGCUCUGUCACUGUAUGCAAUAAUUUCAGUUGGACAGACAAAAGUGAAGUCCAGGGGGUAGAAGAAGAACACAACGUAUUUUCCUAGAAGGGCAGUAUAACCAGUUAAUCUCUUACCUUUGUAAGAGCUGUCAUAUUAAACAUCAACCAUUCAAAUACUGAUAUAGGAGAAAGGGCUUGAUACAAUGCUACCUUUAAAGAUUAAAUGGCAAACUACAGAUACCUGUUUUUAGGACUUGCUUUGUAAGUGGCAAGCCCAUGAAGCACCAUGGGGAGUUACACUUCAGCCAAAUACCAUUUACAGCACUCUUCAAGGCCACUCCACAGCCCCUAACAGAGAACCCCACCCAUCUGAAGACUCCAAAGCCAGAUUAUCAAAUCUGACAGGGAAUGCCUGUCUUCUCGUGUACUCCUAUAGGCCUGCCCAGAGCGCACCUAGUAGCUACACUAGAAGACCCUGUGGUUGACUACUAACGGAGUGCAGAAAUGCCAUGGUUCUGAAAAGCUACAAGCCAAGGAGACGUUUUAAUUGAGUAGGUGACUAGGUUAUUACCUACUCAACACCCUCGUUGAAUCAUAGAAUGGUCUGGGUUGAAAGGGACCUUGAAGAUCAUCUAGUUCCAAUCCCCUGCCACAAGGAGGGGCACCUUCUACUAGACCAGGUAGCUCACAUGCAGCUGAAGGGCCACAGCUUCUUUAGAAACAUCUUUCUAAAUUCAUCCACAUUAGUAUUUGAAUACUUCAGGCUUUCCCUUUGAUUUUAGUAUGCUUUUUUGGCAAGGCAAACAUUUUGCCAGUACUCUAGAGAAAGGAACUUUAUUGGUUAGGGGAAAAAACCUAAUUUCCAUUGACAGAAAGCCUACAAGGGAAGAUCUUACUGUUCCACGUUGUUUGGAGAUGUUACAUCAGUCUCCUAAUACGACAGACAGGACAAAUAAGCCUGAUCUGAGAUUAGGGUUUAGAGGCAUUUUAUACUAAUUAGCAACUACUAUCACAGCUGGGACAUUCAGCCAUGCUGCUGACAGCUUCCCAAGCAUACCCCAGCCAUCAAUGAUAACCAUCACACAAGUUGCAUAUUUCAGUCUACUGCCAAAUGGUCACUAUUACUUUGAAACCAAAGAGGUUCCCUCCACUCUUGCAUACGGCCAGAUUACACCUGUGUUACUAGAGAGCACAUAAUCUCACCUUUAUAGUCAGAGAGUUUGAUAUCUUUGAAUUGUCCAUCUGGCAUUACAGCCGUGGCAGUAAAGUCGGGGGCUGGUUUCCCAAUGAAAGCCUUUCCUGAAGACAUCUUGAUUUAAU
Molecule: non-coding RNA, 4042 nt
Organism: Phalacrocorax carbo (great cormorant)
Lineage: Eukaryota; Metazoa; Chordata; Aves; Suliformes; Phalacrocoracidae
Source: RefSeq, a predicted model, not a curated record